This 357-nucleotide unclassified non-coding RNA is filed under the name Hevea brasiliensis (rubber tree). Lineage: Eukaryota; Viridiplantae; Streptophyta; Magnoliopsida; Malpighiales; Euphorbiaceae. The record is from RNAcentral.
GUAAUUUUUAUCCAUUAGUUAAAAAAAACCAAACCAAAGGCUAAAUUUCCUCUCAUUGAAUUAACCAAGUUUUAUUUGUUUGGUUUGGUUAUAAUUUAAUAGUGCUUGCCACUAGGGCACCUACAUUGAUAUGUUUUAUUAAGGCUCUUCUAAAUGGUAAUCACUGGGCAAUACCCAGUUUGUCACCUUGUUACAAGGAUACCAUCUUUUCCUAGCACCACAAUAGCAUUUCACCCUUGACAGUAACUAAUAUAACCUCACAAAGCAUUACAACAUGAACCCACAAUCCAAGUUUGCAAAAAAUUUCACAAUCUAGUUUAAUAAGCAUCCUCUAUGUUAAGAUCCCACAUUGGUUUG